Molecule: transfer RNA, 84 nt
Filed under: Euonymus alatus (winged euonymus)
Lineage: Eukaryota; Viridiplantae; Streptophyta; Magnoliopsida; Celastrales; Celastraceae
Description: tRNA-Ile
Rfam family: tRNA (bases 1-74)
About the family: Transfer RNA (tRNA) molecules are approximately 80 nucleotides in length. Their secondary structure includes four short double-helical elements and three loops (D, anti-codon, and T loops).
Source: RNAcentral
GGGCUUAUAGUUUAAUUGGUUGAAACGUACCGCUCAUAACGGUUAUAUUGUAGGUUCGAGCCCUACUAAGCCUACCAUACCCCC